GAAAUGCGAUAAGUAAUGUGAAUUGCAGAUUUCAGUGAAUCAUCGAAUCUUUGAACGCGCCUUGCGCUCCUUGGUAUUCCUUGGAGCAUGCCUGUUUGAGUAUCAUGAAAUCUUCAAAGUAAAUCUUUUGUUAACUCAAUUGGUUUCUACUUUGGUAUUGGAGGUCUUUGCAGCUUCACACCUGCUCCUCUUUGUUCAUUAGCUGGAUCUCAGUGUUAUGCUUGGUUCCACUCGGCGUGAUAAGUUAUCUAUCGCUGAGGACACUGUAAAAGGUGGCCAAGGUAAAUGCAGAUGAACCGCUUCUAAUAGUCCAUUGACUUGGACAAUACUUUUAUGAUCUGAUCUCAAAUCAGGUAGGACUACCCGCUGAACUUAAGC
Molecule: unclassified non-coding RNA, 378 nt
Filed under: plant metagenome
Description: partial contains 5.8S ribosomal RNA, internal transcribed spacer 2, and large subunit ribosomal RNA
Rfam family: 5.8S ribosomal RNA (bases 1-105)
Source: RNAcentral